Molecule: long non-coding RNA, 219 nt
Filed under: Brassica napus (rape)
Lineage: Eukaryota; Viridiplantae; Streptophyta; Magnoliopsida; Brassicales; Brassicaceae
Description: long non-coding RNA (BNAP_LNC005445)
Source: RNAcentral
UAAUAAACUAUACAUUGAUAUUUGUUUAAAACAUGUUUCUCAAUUUCCUGUUAUUUUGAAAAAUACUAUAGAUGUUAGUUGAAAACAUUUAAAAGUUGAUCUCAACUUCGUGCACAUAAGACAUCAGCCACGAAACUGGAAUUAAGUCAAACCAAAAUAAAUCAUCUCCGGAUCAGUUGAUGAAACACAAUAAUCUUCCUUAAGCAAGAUCGCCACUAC